RNAcentral lists this microRNA precursor (98 nucleotides) under Microtus ochrogaster (prairie vole). RNAcentral describes it as "miRNA (ENSMOCG00000008329.1)". Lineage: Eukaryota; Metazoa; Chordata; Mammalia; Rodentia; Cricetidae. The record is from RNAcentral.
CUGGUUUGCUUACUACAAAUCCCAGGGUGCACUGCAGCUUUUUCUUAACUUCAUAUUAGAACAUUGCAUGCUGGGGCUUGUAGUUGGUUUAGCUAGCA